CGGAGGUUGACGAGGGAAACCGUUACCCUGGAUUGUUUCCGGUGACGUCGCAACCUAAGGUAGGAGGAGAAGAGUCCUCUCUCACACGCAAAGAGAGGAGAGAGUGAGGAGGUCUCUAUCAGCACUACCAUUGGCGACGGCUUGCGGCGACUGGUACAGAGGCGUUGACGGCUGGCAAAGUGGAGGUGGCGGCAUCCUCAAGCAGGGAGGCGAACCUUUCCCUGGUCAUUUCGUCUAUGGAGGAGGAGACCCUAGGUCUCUGAAGCAGUGCUUGGCAUAAUGAGGGGAAAACUUUGAAACCCCUAAAGUGUUUCUGAUGCUAGGGCAAAAUAUCUUUGGGCCUGGCUCUGGGUCGUAUUCCUUCUGCCCGCCACCACGUACACUCCCAUUCACACCUCCUCUGUUUGGUCUGAAGCCAUUCUGUGUCUGGCAAACAAAAAAAGGGUUUGGGCAUUGAACCCAUUUCGUUUCCAGCACCUCCACUUUCAGCCUUGCACCCCUGACAAAUUAAAAGUUGGAAAGGAAGGACUUGGGC
RNAcentral lists this long non-coding RNA (535 nucleotides) under Vigna radiata. Its description in RNAcentral is "long non-coding RNA (VRAD_LNC013547)". Lineage: Eukaryota; Viridiplantae; Streptophyta; Magnoliopsida; Fabales; Fabaceae. The record is from RNAcentral.